This 5354-nucleotide long non-coding RNA is filed under the name Olea europaea (common olive). RNAcentral's name for it is "long non-coding RNA (OEUR_LNC012031)". The record is from RNAcentral. Lineage: Eukaryota; Viridiplantae; Streptophyta; Magnoliopsida; Lamiales; Oleaceae.
CGACCCAGAACUCAGGGAAGAGUGUUCGCAGUGACACAGCAUGAUGCCGAUGAGUCACCAGAUGUGGUUAUGGGUACGUUAUCUAUUUUUGGCAAGAAGGCUCGUUCUUUAAUAGAUUCAGGUGCUACACAUUCAUUUAUAUCUUAUGCAUUUGCUAUUUAUGCGGACCAUAUGUCAGAAUCAUUAGAUAGUGAUUUGGUGGUAGCAACUCCUGUAGGAGAUUCACUUUUAGCUAACAGUGUGUACAAAGAUUGCGUGAUUAGUGUGAAUGAUCAUGAGUUGAAAGUUAAUUUGAUUCCACUUGAUAUUCAUGAUUUUGAUGUGAUAUUGGGCAUGGAUUUUUUGUCUGUGAAUCAUGCAUCAGUUGAUUGUUUUCGCAAAGAAGUGGUGUUUCGAAGGCCAGGAGAGCCUGAAAUCAUUUUUAGUGGUGAACGGAGAAUACUACCUUCAUGUAUCAUAUCAGCACUUGAUGCUGGGAGAUUGCUUAGAAAAGGUUGCCAAGCAUAUUUAGCUCAUGUGAUUGACACUCAGAUCACUAAAUUGAAACUUGAAGAUAUACCAGUGGCAAAAGAUUUCCCUGAUGUUUUUCCUGAAGAUCUUCCAGGGUUACCUCCUGAUAGGGAAAUCGAGUUUACUAUUGAUUUGAUUCCAGGGACUACCCCUAUUUCACAAUCACCUUACAGAAUGGCUCCAGCAGAGUUGAAGGAAUUGAAAGUUCAGUUGCAGGAUUUAGUUGAUAAGGGUUUCAUUAGACCCAGUGUAUCUCCAUGGGGAGCUCCAGUCUUGUUUGUGAAGAAGAAAGAUGGCACAAUGAGAUUGUGUGUUGACUACAGACAGUUGAAUAAAGUGACAGUUCGCAACAAGUAUCCGUUGCCUCGCAUUGAUGAUUUGUUUGACCAACUUAGAGGUGCCUCAGUGUUUUCGAAAAUUGAUUUACGUUCGGGGUAUCAUCAGCUCAAAAUUAGAGAUAUCGAUGUACCAAAAACUACUUUUAGGUCACGGUAUGGCCAUUGUGAGUUUUUGGUGAUGCCAUUUGGGUUAACUAAUGCCCCUGCAGCGUUUAUGGAUUUGAUGAAUAGAGUGCUUCGCCCAUAUUUAGACAGAUUUGUGAUUGUUUUUAUUGAUGAUAUCUUAGUUUAUUCUCGCAGUAGGGAUGAGCAUGCUGAGCAUUUGAGGAUUAUUUUGCAAACCUUGCGAGAUAAGCAGUUGUAUGCUAAGUUCAGCAAAUGUGAAUUUUGGCUGGAUAAAGUUGUAUUUUUAGGUCAUGUUAUCUCAGCUGAAGGUAUUUAUGUAGAUCCUCAGAAAAUUGAAGCAGUAAUGAAAUGGGAACGCCCUACUAAUGUUACAGAAGUACGGAGUUUUCUUGGGUUAGCAGGUUAUUAUCGUCGAUUUGUAGAGAAUUUUUCCAAAAUUGCUCUUCCUUUGACUAGUUUGACUCGAAAGAACUCCAAAUUUGUGUGGACUGAUGAAUGUGAAAAGAGUUUUCAAGAGUUGAAGAAAAGAUUAGUUUCUGCUCCUAUACUUACUCUUCCAUCUCCAGGUGAGGAGUUUGUGAUUUAUAGUGAUGCUUCACGCCAAGGAUUGGGUUGUGUUUUAAUGCAAAAUGGGAAAGUUGUAGCUUAUGCUUCAAGACAAUUGAAGAAGCAUGAGUUAAAUUACCCAACUCAUGAUUUGGAGUUAGCUGCAGUAGUGUUGGCAUUGAAGAUUUGGAGACAUUAUCUUUAUGGUGAGAAAUGUCAAAUAUUUACUGAUCACAAAAGUUUAAAGUAUAUAUUUGAUCAGAAAGAACUGAAUCUAAGGCAAAGGAGAUGGCUGGAGUUGAUAAAGGAUUAUGAUUGUAACAUUGACUACCAUCCGGGGAAAGCAAAUGUAGUUGCAGAUGCUCUCAGUAGAAAGACAAGUUCAGCUUCUCCAUCAAGUGCAGUUUAUGCUUCUUUGAUUUGUGAGUUCAAGAAGUUACACACUGAGUUGACAACUACUACUUCAGGGGCAAUAUUAGCUCAUUUUCAAGUGAGGCCUACUUUGAUUGAUAAGGUUAGAGAAGCUCAAUCUCAAGACCAGACAUUGAGAAUGUUGAAAGCAGAAGUUACUACUGGGUUAAGAACGGAUUAUAUGAUUAGAGAUGAUGGGGCGCUGUCUAUGGGUAACAGAUUAUGUGUUCCAAAUAUUCCAGAAUUGAAGAAAGAGAUUUUGGAGGAAGCCCACAGUUCUGCUUAUGCUAUGCAUUCAGGCAGUAUUAAAAUGUAUCAUACAUUGAAGGAUCAUUAUUGGUGGCUUGGUAUGAAGAGAGAGAUAGCAGAUUUUGUAUCCAAAUGUUUUAUAUGUCAGCAGGUAAAGCCAGUUCGUCAGAAAACAGCAGGACUUUUACAGCCAUUGCCUAUCCCAGAAUGGAAAUGGGAACACAUUACUAUGGACUUUUUAUUUGGUCUUCCUCGUACUCAAAAUGGUCAUGAUGGAGUUUGGGUGAUUGUCGAUCGUUUGACCAAAACUGCCAAGUUCUUGCCGAUCAAAGCCACUUAUACUUUAAAUAAGUUGGCAAAGUUGUAUGUGGAUGAAAUAGUGAGCUCUUAUGGUACUCCCUUAUCUAUUGUGUCAGAUAGAGACCCUCGUUUUACAUCUAAAUUUUGGCCCAGUUUGCAGGAAGCCAUGGGUACUAAACUACAUUUCAGUACAGCUUUUCAUCCUCAGACAGAUGGCCAGUCAGAGAGGACCAUACAGACUCUUGAGGAUAUGUUGAGGGCUUGUGUUUUAGAGCUAAAGGGUAGUUGGGAUACUCAUUUGUCAUUGAUGGAGUUUGCUUACAAUAACAGUUAUCACUCUAGUAUAGAAAUGGCUCCUUUUGAAGCUUUAUAUGGUCGGAAGUGCAGGACACCAGUUUGUUGGGACGAAGAUGGUAAGAGGAAGUUAAAAGGCCCGGAAUUGGUUGAAAUGACAUCUGAAAAUGUGAAAUUGAUUAAAGAAAAGUUGAAAGCAGCUCAUGAUAGACAGAAAAGUUAUGCGCAUAAGCGCAGGAAAGACCUUGAAAUUGCAGUAGGAGAUAAAGUUUUUCUUAAAUUAUCUCCUUGGAAAGGGGUGUUGAGAUUUGGCAAGCGAGGAAAGUUGAGUCCACGAUAUAUUGGACCUUAUGAGAUUAUUGAGCGGAUUGGUCCAGUUGCAUAUCGAUUAGAUCUGCCCAAUGAAUUAUCCCGGAUCCAUGAUGUUUUUCAUGUUUCCAUGCUUCGCAAAUACAUUGCUGAUCCUUCUCAUGUUCUGGAGUUUCAGCCAAUUCAGUUGAAGGAGAAUUUGACUUAUAUAACAGAACCAGUGAAAAUUUUGGACAAGAAAGUGCAAACUCAACAAAACCAGACAAUUUCACUUGUUAAAGUACUUUGGCAGAAUCAUACAGUAGAAGAAGCUACAUGGGAGAAUGAGGAUCAGAUGCGUGCUCAAUAUCCUCGUUUAUUCAUUGCCUAGUCAGUUGCCAGUUGAAUUUCGAGGACGAAAUUCUUUUAAGGAGGUAAGAUUGUUACAACCCAUAUUUUUUAUCUAGUCAAAGUCCAUAGUGGAAUUUUCAAAGUUAAGUCUAAUGAGGACUUGUAUAAAAUAAAUCAUUUUUAUUGGGACUUGAUUGACCAAAUCAUUUUAUUUGGGUUUAUUUUGCAAUUGGCAAAAUAUGAAGGUUGAAUUGGAUAUAUUUAAAAGUUUGGAAUUUAUAUAUAUACUUUUGGAAGUUUAAGGAUUAAAGGUUACUAAAAAGUAAAGUUAAGGGACUUAAUUUGCAAUUAUGGGAUUGUGGACAAAUUAAUUCAAACCUUUGACCCAUUUUUUCUCAUUUCACACCAAAACACACACACACACACUACGAGAAGCAGAACCGGCCAAGAAGAAAGAAAAAGAAGAGGAAAAGAAAAAGGGAAAAAAGGAAAAGAAAAAGGAAGAAGAAGGGGAAAAAGAAAAGGAAAGGAGGUAAGGUUGAUAUCUUCAAGUUGAGUUUAAUUUUUCCAUUUGUCUUAGAUGAUUAAGUAUGGGUUAUAUUAAAAUUUUUAGGGUUUUAUCAUGUAAUAAUAAAAUGUUAAAUUUAUGUGAUAUAUAUACGAUUUGGAGCUCAAGCUUAGGGAUUAAUUAUGUUGCAGUUUUAACAAGGUGUUUAGGCAAGGAAAAUUUUGGAAACCCUAGAAUCCGAUUUUGGGGAUUUUAAUUAAUUAAUUGUGGAAGUGAUUAUCUAAAUGGAAUAUUUCAUUUGGGAGUUGAUUUUAAUGAGCAAAUGUAUAUUAGAUGGGUGGAAAUUAUGGUCACUAGUUUCAUUACAUUGGAAAGAAAAAUUAGUUUUAACUUGGGAAGAAGGUUUUGUUGAUAAAUUAGUUAUUAGAAAAGGAAUUAGAAAGUGGGAUUAGCUCCAUUGAUCAAAAGAAUAUUUGGGAAUUCAUUCGAGCAUCGACCAAUUUUGGUUAAGUAUUAUAGAAGUAGAUUUUAAAGUUUCUUAAUUUAAUAGUAGUUGAUUAGCCAUCUUGUUAUGUAUUCCAGGUGGUGACGAGGAAGUUGGAAGAGCCUAUCGACCAGUUUAGGUUCAGCUUGUGUUAUGUGAGUGGAUAAGCUUAUUUUUUUUAGAAAUAAGUAUUUAUUUAAUUUUGAAGUUACGUAUUUUAUAAGUUGAGUUGAUAGCAUGAUUUUUUUAGAAAAAACGAAUUUUAUUAUCAAAUGUGAAUGUGUUUCCAUAGUGUAUGACCAUUUUAUAGCUCUGCGCGCGUAUGAUCAGAAUUUCAGAAUUUUAGAAUUACAGAAUUUCAGAAUUUAAUGACCUUGCUAUGUAUAUCGAGAUUAAUCGAUACACGAGUAUGGUUAUUCAGGAUACAUUUUUGGUGUGAUGUUUCAGUAUUACAUAGCUUGUCAGAUUUUAGAAAUAGAUUUUACAGUAUUUAGUUGAUUCAGCUGAAAGAAUGAAGAUUUUAGUUUAACGUAUUGUGAAAGGAAAUAUUUACUAUAUAUUAGUAUUUAGAAAGGUGUUAUAAAUGUUAAAGUAUAACUUUUACAAAUAUCCACUCACUGAGUCGCAAGCUCAUAUUUUUGUCACCUCAUUUCUUAUCAGAUAGAAGGUGCGUUGAGCCAUAUCAAAGCCUAUCGUUGACGAGUUGAGCUUCAUCGUGUCCUUGUUUGUAUGUCUCAUUUUGUUAAUUCAUACAGCAUAUAUUUUGGGGGUUAAUGUAUUUUGUAUAAAAAAUGUAUUAAGUCUCAUAUCCAUUGCCUAUUUUGUGUAUGUUUUGAAAUGGUAAAUUUUUUUUUCAGUACAACUCCUUGAAGAAUUAGUAUUUUGAUGGGCUAGUGUACCCUAUUAUAAAGUAUGUGUAUAUGUUUGGGAUUUUUGAUUUUAUUCUCAG